RNAcentral lists this ribosomal RNA (251 nucleotides) under uncultured prokaryote. RNAcentral's name for it is "partial 16S rRNA". It matches the Rfam family "Bacterial small subunit ribosomal RNA", at positions 525 to 775 of the family's 1533-position model. The record is from RNAcentral.
ACGGAGGGUGCAAGCGUUAAUCGGAAUUACUGGGCGUAAAGCGCACGCAGGCGGUUUGUUAAGUCAGAUGUGAAAUCCCCGGGCUCAACCUGGGAACUGCAUCUGAUACUGGCAAGCUUGAGUCUCGUAGAGGGGGGUAGAAUUCCAGGUGUAGCGGUGAAAUGCGGAGAUCUCUGGAGGAAUACCGGUGGCGAAGGCGGCCCCCCGGACGAGGUCUGACAGUGAGGUGCGAAAGCGGGGGGAGCAAACAG